GCAGGGAUGGCCGAGAGGUUAAGGCGUUGGAUUUAGGUCUUCAUCGGGAAACAUCAGUUUCUCUAGUAGAAUACUCCAAUUUCGAAAGAAGCAUGGGUUCGAACCCCAUUUCCUGCA
This 117-nucleotide transfer RNA is filed under the name Hanseniaspora guilliermondii. RNAcentral's name for it is "transfer RNA-Leu(TAG)". It matches the Rfam family "tRNA". Rfam says of the family: Transfer RNA (tRNA) molecules are approximately 80 nucleotides in length. RNAcentral also lists the same sequence under 1 other name. Lineage: Eukaryota; Fungi; Ascomycota; Saccharomycetes; Saccharomycodales; Saccharomycodaceae. The record is from RNAcentral.